This 442-nucleotide ribosomal RNA is filed under the name Stainforthia sp. Its description in RNAcentral is "SSU rRNA". It matches the Rfam family "Eukaryotic small subunit ribosomal RNA", at positions 1178 to 1465 of the family's 1831-position model. Lineage: Eukaryota; Foraminifera; Rotaliida; Stainforthiidae. The record is from RNAcentral.
GGAGCAUGUGGCUUAAUUUGACUCAACGCGGGAAAUCUUACCGGGUCCGGACACACUGAGGAUUGACAGGCAAUAUUAAUUUCGCCCCGGCGAUUUUAUGUUAAAUAUGCUAGUCCUUUCAUGAUUAUGUGAUAGGUGGUGCAUGGCCGUUCUUAGUUCGUGGAGUGAUCUGUCUGCUUAAUUGCGUUUCACUAAGGGCCUAUAAUUUAACGUGUGUUGCGGCACUUUGACCCCUCUUCGCGGAGCGUGCGUCUUAGCUUGUUUAGCUCACACAAUUAGGUCCUGAAAGCAACGAACGUGACCGCAACCUCUUGUUGCCUUUAUACCAAACACAGUCUGACCUUCUUCCCUGAAGGGCUGCCGUGAAAAAAGGCUUUUUAAACUAGAGGGACCGCUGUUACUUUCUUAAACCAGAGGAAGGUUGCGGCAAUAACAGGUCUGU